This is a long non-coding RNA of Octopus sinensis (East Asian common octopus), 185 nucleotides long. RefSeq lists it as uncharacterized. The record is from RefSeq and is a predicted model, not a curated record. NCBI's taxonomy places the organism in Eukaryota, Metazoa, Mollusca, Cephalopoda, Octopoda, Octopodidae. The transcript has 3 exons.
AAUGUGUAUUUUUUUUACCUAAGUUUUUUCCUGUUACUUAGCCUGUCUGUAACACUUUCACAUGAAUAGUUGGAGGGAAAGGCAAAGAUCAAGAGAAAAUGAGGAAAAAAUGAAGAAGUGAAAGAAAGUGAAAAAAGGUGUGUUAGUUGGUGGUCAAAAUAUUAUGAGGGGGAUGGGAGAGGGGU